UGCUGCAGUGCCUAGGUCAGUUA
RNAcentral lists this unclassified non-coding RNA (23 nucleotides) under Mus musculus (house mouse). RNAcentral's name for it is "oocyte_clustered_small_RNA10808". Lineage: Eukaryota; Metazoa; Chordata; Mammalia; Rodentia; Muridae. The record is from RNAcentral.